AAUGAAGUGCCUGACUAAAGGGUUAUCUUGAUAGGAUAAAUCAAGUAAUAUUUAUAUUACCUUCAUUA
RNAcentral lists this transfer RNA (68 nucleotides) under Brachyptera risi. Its description in RNAcentral is "tRNA-Ile". The record is from RNAcentral. Lineage: Eukaryota; Metazoa; Arthropoda; Insecta; Plecoptera; Taeniopterygidae.